This 234-nucleotide ribosomal RNA is filed under the name Triticum aestivum (bread wheat). Its description in RNAcentral is "partial small subunit ribosomal RNA". Lineage: Eukaryota; Viridiplantae; Streptophyta; Magnoliopsida; Poales; Poaceae. The record is from RNAcentral.
AUGGCGAUGAGGAAGGAGGUCCUGCUGGUGGCCAUGAUGCUGGCGCUGGUUGUGGCGGCGCCAGGCGGGGCGCUCGCGGCGUGCGAGGUGGGGCAGCUGACGGUGUGCAUGCCCGCGAUCACCACCGGCGCGAAGCCGAGCGACGCGUGCUGUGGCAACCUGCGCGCGCAGCAGGCGUGCUUCUGCCAGUACGCCAAGGACCCCUCCCUCGCUCGCUACAUCACUAGCGCGUAG